Molecule: non-coding RNA, 84 nt
Organism: Auriculariales sp. MPI-PUGE-AT-0066
Lineage: Eukaryota; Fungi; Basidiomycota; Agaricomycetes; Auriculariales
Source: the annotation of a GenBank genome assembly
GACUGGCUGGUCUAACGGCAUGACGCUCCACUCUCAAAUUUGAACACUCCCGGAGCAGUGUGGGUUCGAAUCCCGCGCUGGUCG